Molecule: ribosomal RNA, 468 nt
Filed under: uncultured bacterium
Lineage: Bacteria
Description: partial 16S ribosomal RNA
Rfam family: Bacterial small subunit ribosomal RNA
Source: RNAcentral
GACGAACGCUGGCGGCGUGCUUAACACAUGCAAGUCGAACGGAAAGGCCCUGCUUUUGUGGGGUGCUCGAGUGGCGAACGGGUGAGUAACACGUGAGUAACCUGCCCUUGACUUUGGGAUAACUUCAGGAAACUGGGGCUAAUACCGGAUAGGAGCUCCUGCUGCAUGGUGGGGGUUGGAAAGUUUCGGCGGUUGGGGAUGGACUCGCGGCUUAUCAGCUUGUUGGUGGGGUAGUGGCUUACCAAGGCUUUGACGGGUAGCCGGCCUGAGAGGGUGACCGGGCACAAUGGGACUGAGAUACGGCCCAGACUCCUACGGGAGGCAGCAGUGGGGAAUAUUGCACAAUGGGCGGAAGCCUGAUGCAGCAACGCCGCGUGCGGGAUGACGGCCUUCGGGGUGUAAACCGCUUUCGCCUGUGACGAAGCGUGAGUGACGGUAAUAGGUAAAGAAGCACCGGCUAACUACGUG